Molecule: ribosomal RNA, 512 nt
Filed under: uncultured bacterium
Lineage: Bacteria
Description: bacterial SSU rRNA
Rfam family: Bacterial small subunit ribosomal RNA
Source: RNAcentral
GGCGGCGUGCCUAAUACAUGCAAGUCGAACGCACUCUCGUUUAGAUUGAAGGAGACUUGCUCCUGAUUGAUAAACAUUUGAGUGAGUGGCGGACGGGUGAGUAACACGGUGGGUAACCUGCCCUAAAGUGGGGGAUAACAUUUGGAAACAGAUGCUAAUACCGCAUAAAACCUAACACCGCAUGGUGUAGGGUUGAAAGAUGGUUUCGGCUAUCACUUUAGGAUGGACCCGCGGUGCAUUAGUUAGUUGGUGAGGUAAAGGCUCACCAAGACCGUGAUGCAUAGCCGACCUGAGAGGGUAAUCGGCCACACUGGGACUGAGACACGGCCCAGACUCCUACGGGAGGCAGCAGUAGGGAAUCUUCCACAAUGGACGAAAGUCUGAUGGAGCAACGCCGCGUGAGUGAAGAAGGUUUUCGGAUCGUAAAACUCUGUUGUUGGAGAAGAAUGUAUCUGAUAGUAACUGAUCAGGUAGUGACGGUAUCCAACCAGAAAGCCACGGCUAACUACGUG